GCGUGGGAAUUUGCCUAAUAGUGGGGAGUAGCCCACGAGAAAUUUAGGUAGUAAAUUAACCGCAUAAUCUCUACGGAGUAAAGGUAGGCCUCUCCUUGGAAGCUAUCGCUAUUAGAUAAGCCCGCCGUCAGAUUAGCUAGUUGGUGAGGUAAAAGCUCACCAAGGCAACGAUCUGUAGCUGGUCUGAGAGGAUGAUCAGCCACACUGGGAACUGAGACACGGUCCAGACUCCUACGGGAGGCAGCAGUGGGGAAGUAAUUGCACAAUGGGCGGCAAGCCUGAUGCAGCCAUGCCGCGUGU
RNAcentral lists this ribosomal RNA (300 nucleotides) under uncultured Gammaproteobacteria bacterium. RNAcentral's name for it is "bacterial SSU rRNA". It matches the Rfam family "Bacterial small subunit ribosomal RNA", at positions 115 to 404 of the family's 1533-position model. The record is from RNAcentral. Lineage: Bacteria; Pseudomonadati; Pseudomonadota; Gammaproteobacteria.